RNAcentral lists this long non-coding RNA (341 nucleotides) under Manihot esculenta (cassava). RNAcentral's name for it is "long non-coding RNA (MESC_LNC010716)". Lineage: Eukaryota; Viridiplantae; Streptophyta; Magnoliopsida; Malpighiales; Euphorbiaceae. The record is from RNAcentral.
UUUAUUCCAUGCUUUCAUGAAAUGCGUCAUAUCACAACGAAUACACAUCAAACAUUUCAUCCCCGCUUGAGUUCACGCUAGCAAUCUCUUCCUCUUGCGGGUGAUUUUAGAGGGUUCUCGAAACGUCCUUCCCCUCCGGGUUAGACAUGACCCCAACAUUCCCUCUGUCAUAACUCGGCCCCGAAGGAGCUCUCAUUGGGCUUUCCUACAUGUACUCGCCCGACUAAUAAGGACUCAAUGACAGACUUACGGGCUAUUGAGGUCGCCUUGGUCCACCCAUCUCAUCACAAAAUCAACAAUUUAUGCAAUGCGUCACAUUCGUGAAACUAGUGCAAUCAUCC